GCCGGGCGUGGUGGUGCACGCCUGUCAUCCCAGCGGCUCGGGAGGCUGAGGCAGGAGGAUCUCAAGUUCGAAGCCAGCCUCAGGAAAAGACAGGCGCUGAGGAAAUCAGGGAGACCCUGUCUCUA
Molecule: small RNA, 125 nt
Filed under: Marmota monax (woodchuck)
Lineage: Eukaryota; Metazoa; Chordata; Mammalia; Rodentia; Sciuridae
Source: RNAcentral